GAGCAUAUUCAAUCAUUAACAUCUGAACGGCUUGUAAAGCAGAAAACUGCUCUUGAACGCCAUAAUUAUCAUCCCACGUCCCAUUGUUCCAGAACCAAUAAAUACCGCAACUAGUACCACUGUAACCACCACAACAUUGCUUAGCAGCAGCAGCAGCACUAGUCUGAAUUAGUGGAUACAGUGUAUCAUAAGUAUAAGGAGCCAGUCGAAUGGUAUUUCCAAAACUUUGCAUAAAAAUACCCUUGAAUGCAGUUUGGUCGGAAUUACAGUCGUCGAAGUAUUCACAUUGGGGGUCCCAAGCUAUAUCAUCAGUAAAGAAGUAAGACGUAGCAUGGCUAAUAAGGCCAUCAAGCCGUUCACGCCAUACUGUUUCUCCAGUGUAGUUAUACAUAUAUGCAGCGCCAACCAUAAAGAUACCUAUGUUGUAAGACCAUUGAGAUGGAUCCAGUGUUGUACAAUUCGUCGAAGUAUCGGCGCCAUCAUACACAGCAUAAGUUGUGGUAUUGACAAAUCCAACGUCGGUGGUCCAAUCCCAUAUCUUGUUAGCCCAGUCCGAGUAGACACUUUCGUUUGUAAAACGAGCAAGUCUAGAGCUUAGUUGAAAGAGCAAUGCAUUACUAACUGAAGCUUUAUAGCUAUAUCCAUUCAACCAAGCAAAAGCUUGCCAACGUAAACCACCACCACACGUGCUUGAAUCCCAACGUCCGGACAUACGAUUAAACGCCGCUUGCGUUAACUCCAACCAUGAAUGUUCUGUUGAAUUUGGGGGACUAAAGUUAGCCUCUGCUGCAUCCAUUGCAGCGGCAGCCCACAUGCCUUGAUCAUCAUUUCCGAGAUUAAAGUAUUCAAACGAGGGC
Schizosaccharomyces pombe (fission yeast) is the source of this 857-nucleotide non-coding RNA. Lineage: Eukaryota; Fungi; Ascomycota; Schizosaccharomycetes; Schizosaccharomycetales; Schizosaccharomycetaceae. The record is from the annotation of a GenBank genome assembly.